Molecule: ribosomal RNA, 253 nt
Filed under: uncultured bacterium
Lineage: Bacteria
Description: partial 16S ribosomal RNA
Rfam family: Bacterial small subunit ribosomal RNA
Source: RNAcentral
UACAGAGGGUGCGAGCGUUAAUCGGAAUUACUGGGCGUAAAGCGUGCGUAGGCGGUUUGUUAAGUCUGUCGUGAAAGCCCCGGGCUCAACCUGGGAAUGGCGAUGGAAACUGGCGAGCUAGAGUACGGUAGAGGAGAGUGGAAUUCCCGGUGUAGCAGUGAAAUGCGUAGAGAUCGGGAGGAACAUCAGUUGCGAAGGCGGCUCUCUGGACCAGUACUGACGCUGAGGCACGAAAGCGUGGGGAGCAAACAGG